RNAcentral lists this transfer RNA (21 nucleotides) under Camassia scilloides (eastern camas). RNAcentral describes it as "partial tRNA-Met". Lineage: Eukaryota; Viridiplantae; Streptophyta; Magnoliopsida; Asparagales; Asparagaceae. The record is from RNAcentral. RNAcentral also lists the same sequence under 4 other names.
UUGCGGAGACAGGAUUUGAAC